Long non-coding RNA from Esox lucius (northern pike), 476 nucleotides. RefSeq lists it as uncharacterized. Lineage: Eukaryota; Metazoa; Chordata; Actinopteri; Esociformes; Esocidae. The record is from RefSeq and is a predicted model, not a curated record. The transcript has 3 exons.
GUUAUGAAGAGAGAGGAAGGAAGAGGGAGAAAGAAGAUGAAGGCUGUCUUUCAUGUUCCCACACAGCAUUUCAACUUUCACUCUGCCAUUCCAUAACUCUCCAUUUCUUCUUUUUGAGCCAUUGUGUUGUAGCUUUGCUUGUGUGUUUUCAAUCAUUGUAUUGUUGCGAGAUCCAUUUUUGGUUCAGCUUCAGAUUUUUGACAGAUGGCCUCACAUUCUCCUGAAGAAUUCUCUGGUACAAUAUGGCAUUCCUGGUUGACUGAGUGAUGACAUUUGGCCUGGCCUUGAGGCAACCACGCAGCCCAAAACCAUAAUGCCACUGCCUCCAUGCUUUAAGGAAGUCACGUUCAGUCAAAGCGCGACAGUAAUCAGCCAAUGGGCUUACAGUACUGUGAUGGGUAUUCCAGGUCGGGAUGUCUAUGAAGUAGAGGUAUGACCGGAAGUUUCUUUGGGACUGAGUGAGAUGACAUUGAGUC